This 104-nucleotide microRNA precursor is filed under the name Marmota monax (woodchuck). Lineage: Eukaryota; Metazoa; Chordata; Mammalia; Rodentia; Sciuridae. The record is from RNAcentral.
ACAACAAUCACCUGGAGACUUGCUGAAGUGGGGAAUCUGAUCCAGCAGGUCUGGGCUGUGACCCCAGGUCCCACAUUUCUGACAAGCUCCCAGCUGAUGCUGAU